This 239-nucleotide ribosomal RNA is filed under the name uncultured Lactobacillus sp. RNAcentral's name for it is "partial 16S ribosomal RNA". It matches the Rfam family "Bacterial small subunit ribosomal RNA", at positions 125 to 355 of the family's 1533-position model. Lineage: Bacteria; Bacillati; Bacillota; Bacilli; Lactobacillales; Lactobacillaceae. The record is from RNAcentral.
CCGUAGCCCAAGAGAUCGGGAUAACACCUGGAAACAGAUGCUAAUACCGGAUAACAACAGAUGAUGCCUAUCAACUGUUUAAAAGAUGGUUCUGCUAUCACUCUUGGAUGGACCUGCGGUGCAUUAGCUAGUUGGUAGGGUAACGGCCUACCAAGGCGAUGAUGCAUAGCCGAGUUGAGAGACUGAUAGGCCACAUUGGGACUGAGACACGGCCCAAACUCCUACGGGAGGCAGCAGUC